This 119-nucleotide ribosomal RNA is filed under the name Lepisosteus oculatus (spotted gar). Lineage: Eukaryota; Metazoa; Chordata; Actinopteri; Semionotiformes; Lepisosteidae. The record is from RNAcentral.
AUCAGCAGCCUUAUCACCCUGCAACUCACAUCUGGCAACCCACUGAAGCUAAGCAGGUGUGAGCUUGGUCAGUACCUGGAUGGGAGACCUCCUGGGAAAAACUAAGGUUGCUGCUGGAA